GGAAUGGACGCACCGCUGGUGCACCAGUUGUCAUGCCAAUGGCACGGCUGGGUAGCUAAGUGCGGAAGGGAUAAACGCUGAAGGCAUCUAAGCGUGAAGCCCCCCUCGAGAUAAGAUAUCCCAUACGUAAGUAGUAAGGCCCCACGUAGACUAUGUGGUUGAUAGGUCACAGGUGUAAGUGCAGUAAUGUAUUAAGCUGAGUGAUACUAAUAGGCCGAGGGCUUGACCAAGAA
Molecule: ribosomal RNA, 233 nt
Filed under: Oscillospiraceae bacterium
Lineage: Bacteria; Bacillati; Bacillota; Clostridia; Eubacteriales; Oscillospiraceae
Description: partial 23S ribosomal RNA
Rfam family: Bacterial large subunit ribosomal RNA
Source: RNAcentral